UGAUUAUGGCUCAGAAUCAACGCUGGCGGCGUGCCUCAGACAUGCAAGUCGAACGAUUAAAGCUCUCUUCGGAGAGUGCAUAGAGUGGCGCACGGGUGAGUAACACGUAAGUAAUCUACCUUCGAGUGGGGAAUAACGUCCGGAAACGGGCGCUAAUACCGCAUAAUGCAGCGGCAUCGCAAGAUGACAGUUGUUAAAGGAGCAAUCCGCUUGAAGAGGAGCUUGCGGCAGAUUAGCUAGUUGGUAGGGUAAUGGCCUACCAAGGCUACGAUCUGUAACCGGUCUUAGAGGACGGUCGGUCACACUGACACUGAAUAACGGGUCAGACUCCUACGGGAGGCAGCAGUCGGGAAUUUUGGGCAAUGGGGGAAACCCUGACCCAGCAACGCCGCGUGAAGGAUGAAGUAUUUCGGUAUGUAAACUUCGAAAGAAUAGGAAGAAUUAAUGACGGUACUAUUUAUAAGGUCCGGCUAACUACGUGCCAGCAGCCGCGGUAAUACGUAGGGACCAAGCGUUGUUCGGAUUUACUGGGCGUAAAGGGCGCGUAGGCGGCAUGGCAAGUCACUUGUGAAAUCUCCGGGCUUAACUCGGAACGGCCAAGUGAUACUGCUGAGCUAGAGUGCAGAAGGGGCAAUCGGAAUUCUUGGUGUAGCGGUGAAAUGCGUAGAUAUCAAGAGGAACACCUGAGGUGAAGACGGGUUGCUGGGCUGACACUGACGCUGAGGCGCGAAAGCUAGGGGAGCAAACGGGAUUAGAUACCCCGGUAGUCCUAGCCCUAAACGAUGAAUACUUGGUGUCUGGAGGUUUAAUACUCCGGGUGCCGUCGCUAACGUUUUUAGUAUUCCGCCUGGGGAGUACGUACGCAAGUAUGAAACUCAAAUGAAUUGACGG
This 891-nucleotide ribosomal RNA is filed under the name uncultured bacterium. Its description in RNAcentral is "bacterial SSU rRNA". It matches the Rfam family "Bacterial small subunit ribosomal RNA", at positions 14 to 916 of the family's 1533-position model. The record is from RNAcentral.